Gasterosteus aculeatus aculeatus (three-spined stickleback) is the source of this 1600-nucleotide non-coding RNA. The record is from RefSeq and is a predicted model, not a curated record. Lineage: Eukaryota; Metazoa; Chordata; Actinopteri; Perciformes; Gasterosteidae.
CCCUUGGUUUCAGGACCGCGUCUCUGUCCUAUGCCGGAGUGCCAAUAGUCUGUGGAUCAUAAUGACACCUGGGUCAGCUGCUGGUUUCUUUUUUUCUUUCUUCCCUUUACUUUUCUUUUUUUUUUCUUCUCUUUUUUGGGGGUGCCUUGCUUUUUCGGGUCCGCUUCCCUGUCGUGCGUCAGAGGAGUGAGAGGGACCGAGCUGGACAGACUCAAUAACAACAACAGCGUGGAAUUUAAGAAGAAAACAAUGUCAACAGGGAAGAUCCAAAGACCCAAGCUGUGGAAUGCUGGUUCUGAUGUCUCCAGUGAGUGUUGAAGCAAAGUGAAGUACAAAGACUUUCUGCUCAAACGCACUGAAGAGAUUAACUGCUUCAAGUGACAGACAAGACCGGAUGCAUUUGCAGCGCUUACAGUGUGACGUGUUGAAUUUUGUGUGCACUUACUGUAAAUCGCAUAUUUGUAAAUCUACAGGCUGUGAGGUAUUGAGGACUAUGUUUGGGUGGGUGGUUGUGUGUCUGUUGUGUCAUGUACGCAAACUAUUUCAUGAUACAUAACGAAGCAAACAUUUUUUUCACUUUAAUCGCUCCUGACAGUCAUGAAAGGGACAUGAUGCAUGUACGUUCUACCCCGACUGAAUGGAAUGAAACUGUUGUGUAUAACUAAAUGCAAUAGUUCUUCUAACGAAGAGGACACUAUAGUGUUGGUCCACGCUUACUUUCUAUGGUUUCCUCAUAGAUGUGAAUCAGCAGAUGUGCAGUAGCUGGUGCAUGUGUAUUAAUUUUGUACAAAUGACAUUUCUCUAAAAAUAUUAAAUAUUUUAAAUAGGUUUCUAGUUAAGAGUUGGUAUUACAAUCAAUAGUAGUUGGAAAGCCAUGCAUUAUGGAAACUAUUGACCCGUCUAGAAGGUGUUUUGUAUUAUUCGGCUUGGCUGAAACACCCAACUGUGUAAUAGAUGUUUUGCAGCAAUUCCAAACACUUUGCAACCGAGGGUCAGCUUAGCCCAAUCAAUGUAUUGUGCUGCAUUCAUAGGCAAGAGUAAACGGUUCAAGACCACUUACAACAAUCUAAAAGCAACAAAAAAAAUACAAAUAAAUUUUUAUAUAUAUAUAUAUAUAUAUAUAUAUAUAUAUAUAUAUAGUAAAUGUACACCUUUUUAUUUAGCAUAAAAAGGGGAUGCCUACCCCUCACUCCAAUGUCAAUAAUUAGACAAAGCAACUGACUUUAAAGGUCAGUUUGAAAUACAAACUAUGAGCUUUACCGAAGCCUACUGCACUGUUAUAAAUAAAGCUACGUCUUUUUGUGCACCCAAAAUCGGCAGAAAACUGACCACACUCGUCCCUGACACGUCCAAAAAAGAUACUUGUGGAGCUGCACAGUUUGAUGCUGUGAAAUGUUUUUUUUUUACUUUUAUUUUUCUUUUGAAAAUGGCACAGCGUCAAAUUGGAUCCCAUUCGCCAUAUCAUAGUCUCAGCCCAUCAUACUUUUUUAAUUUCAUACUGUCAAACAGUUGUCAAUUGUCACGCAUUGCGGAUCUUAUAUGGUUUCAAUUAUUUCAAAGAACAUGUAUUCUACAUUAUAUUAAAAACAUGUGUAAUAAA